This 301-nucleotide long non-coding RNA is filed under the name Vombatus ursinus (common wombat). RNAcentral describes it as "lncRNA (ENSVURG00010018333.1)". The record is from RNAcentral. Lineage: Eukaryota; Metazoa; Chordata; Mammalia; Diprotodontia; Vombatidae.
ACCUCCCCCUCAGCCUAGCUGGCGAAGCUUUCACUGGAACUUGAGGGUUCUGAGGCUCCAAUUGGUUGGUGAGUGGCAUCCUCCUCCUUAAGCAAUGAAAGAUGAACUGAGGUUGACAGGAUCUCCAGAGAUAAGCAUUAGCUGAGCAUCCACUGUAUUGAGUCUCACACCAAGUUCUACAGAGAAGUGGAGCUGCUCCUACAGAAUUUGCUGCCCCACACUCAGCUCGCCUUUCUGGUCCAUUGGUGUGCUCAAGGCUCUCAGAUGGAGUAAAGGCCCAUAGUGCAGUUCCAUCUUCUGC